Molecule: long non-coding RNA, 550 nt
Organism: Seriola aureovittata
Lineage: Eukaryota; Metazoa; Chordata; Actinopteri; Carangiformes; Carangidae
Exons: 3
Source: RefSeq, a predicted model, not a curated record
GCUAAGCCCUGCUGGUGCCAGUGGACCCCCUGGUUCCCCCGACAGACCCUGAGACAGUGCUGACAUCAGACCCGGGUCAAACACGGUCUCAGAGAGACAGACUCUGUUUGCAGGGAGCAACACAAGAGGAAAUGGCAUCAGUUGUUUCUGCAGCUACUUCCUACAUUUCCCAGGACGACUUUUGAUCUUUCCAGUCCACAAAGCAGCUUGUGAGAAAACUGACAAAUAUCAGGUCCUGUGAGAGGAAUGAUAAGCACCGACCGCCUCAUGUGGCGACCACUUGAGCGCUGGGAGAGAUCUGAGAGUUCACACUCGUCUCAGGGGAUUUUGAAACAAACCUGUUGCAGCAGCGGCGUCGACCGGAUCCCGGCCGAUCAGAGCAGAACUCGGCCCGGCAGAGCUGAGUCCGGUAAAACCUGAGUGCAGGGUUUGGGAGCUGAGGCGCGAUCCCAACGCUCCCUGCGCCAUUUUCCCAUUUCCCGGCUUUUCCAUGUCGACUUCGCUCUGCAGCCAACGCUCCUGAGGAAAAACAGACGCCUCCUCUGCUGCC